GAUGAACGCUGGCGGCGUGCUUAACACAUGCAAGUCGAACGAAAGGCUCCUGCUUGCAGGGGUACUCGAGUGGCGAACGGGUGAGUAACACGUGGGUGAUCUGCCCUGCACUUCGGGAUAAGCCUGGGAAACUGGGUCUAAUACCGGAUAGGACCGCAUUUUGGAUGGUGUGGUGGAAAGUUUUUCGGUGUGGGAUGAGCUCGCGGCCUAUCAGCUUGUUGGUGGGGUAAUGGCCUACCAAGGCGUCGACGGGUAGCCGGCCUGAGAGGGUGUACGGCCACAUUGGGACUGAGAUACGGCCCAGACUCCUACGGGAGGCAGCAGUGGGGAAUAUUGCACAAUGGGCGCAAGCCUGAUGCAGCGACGCCGCGUGGGGGAUGACGGCCUUCGGGUUGUAAACUCCUUUCGCUAGGGACGAAGCGCAAGUGACGGUACCUGGAGAAGAAGCACCGGCUAACUACGUG
RNAcentral lists this ribosomal RNA (464 nucleotides) under uncultured bacterium. Its description in RNAcentral is "partial 16S ribosomal RNA". It matches the Rfam family "Bacterial small subunit ribosomal RNA", at positions 28 to 507 of the family's 1533-position model. The record is from RNAcentral.